RNAcentral lists this ribosomal RNA (348 nucleotides) under uncultured bacterium. Its description in RNAcentral is "bacterial SSU rRNA". It matches the Rfam family "Bacterial small subunit ribosomal RNA", at positions 917 to 1264 of the family's 1533-position model. The record is from RNAcentral.
GGGUCCGCACAAGCGGUGGAGCAUGUGGUUUAAUUCGAUGAUACGCGAAGAACCUUACCUGGGCUCUAAUGCGAGUGACCGCUCCUGAAAGGGAGCUUUUCCUUCGGGACACGAAGCAAGGUGCUGCAUGGUUGUCGUCAGCUCGUGCCGUGAGUGUUGGGUUAAGUCCCGCAACGAGCGCAACCCCGUAUCUUUAGUUGCCAGCGAUUCGGUCGGGGACUCUAGAGAGACUGCCUGCGCAAGCAGAGAGGAAGGCGGGGGACGACGUCAAAUCAUCAUGGCCUUUAUGCCCAAGGGCUACACACGUGCUACAAUGGUAAGGACAAAGGGCAGCGAGCCGGCGACGGU